GUACACAAAAAUGCACAUGCUGUGAGCUCGAUGAGUAGGGCGGGACACGUGGUAUCCUGUCUGAAUAUGGGGGGACCAUCCUCCAAGGCUAAAUACUCCUGACUGACCGAUAGUGAACCAGUACCGUGAGGGAAAGGCGAAAAGAACCCCGGCGAGGGGAGUGAAAAAGAACCUGAAACCGUGUACGUACAAGCAGUGGGAGCACGCUUAGGCGUGUGACUGCGUACCUUUUGUAUAAUGGGUCAGCGACUUAUAUUCUGUAGCAAGGUUAACCGAAUAGGGGAGCCGAAGGGAAACCGAGUCUUAACUGGGCGUUAAGUUGCAGGGUAUAGACCCGAAACCCGGUGAUCUAGCCAUGGGCAGGUUGAAGGUUGGGUAACACUAACUGGAGGACCGAACCGACUAAUGUUGAAAAAUUAGCGGAUGACUUGUGGCUGGGGGUGAAAGGCCAAUCAAACCGGGAGAUAGCUGGUUCUCCCCGAAAGCUAUUUAGGUAGCGCCUCGUGAAUUCAUCUCCGGGGGUAGAGCACUGUUUCGGCAAGGGGGUCAUCCCGACUUACCAACCCGAUGCAAACUGCGAAUACCGGAGAAUGUUAUCACGGGAGACACACGGCGGGUGCUAACGUCCGUCGUGAAGAGGGAAACAACCCAGACCGCCAGCUAAGGUCCCAAAGUCAUGGUUAAGUGGGAAACGAUGUGGGAAGGCCCAGACAGCCAGGAUGUUGGCUUAGAAGCAGCCAUCAUUUAAAGAAAGCGUAAUAGCUCACUGGUCGAGUCGGCCUGCGCGGAAGAUGUAACGGGGCUAAACCAUGCACCGAAGCUGCGGCAGCGACACUGUGUGUUGUUGGGUAGGGGAGCGUUCUGUAAGCCUGCGAAGGUGUGCUGUGAGGCAUGCUGGAGGUAUCAGAAGUGCGAAUGCUGACAUAAGUAACGAUAAAGCGGGUGAAAAGCCCGCUCGCCGGAAGACCAAGGGUUCCUGUCCAACGUUAAUCGGGGCAGGGUGAGUCGACCCCUAAGGCGAGGCCGAAAGGCGUAGUCGAUGGGAAACAGGUUAAUAUUCCUGUACUUGGUGUUACUGCGAAGGGGGGACGGAGAAGGCUAUGUUGGCCGGGCGACGGUUGUCCCGGUUUAAGCGUGUAGGCUGGUUUUCCAGGCAAAUCCGGAAAAUCAAGGCUGAGGCGUGAUGACGAGGCACUACGGUGCUGAAGCAACAAAUGCCCUGCUUCCAGGAAAAGCCUCUAAGCAUCAGGUAACAUCAAAUCGUAC
This 1266-nucleotide ribosomal RNA is filed under the name Escherichia coli. RNAcentral's name for it is "partial 23S ribosomal RNA". It matches the Rfam family "Bacterial large subunit ribosomal RNA", at positions 375 to 1647 of the family's 2925-position model. The record is from RNAcentral. Lineage: Bacteria; Pseudomonadati; Pseudomonadota; Gammaproteobacteria; Enterobacterales; Enterobacteriaceae.